Molecule: long non-coding RNA, 3242 nt
Organism: Cyanistes caeruleus (blue tit)
Lineage: Eukaryota; Metazoa; Chordata; Aves; Passeriformes; Paridae
Source: Ensembl
CCCGCCCCCCCGUCCCCGCCGUGAGGGCCCGGCCCGCAGUGCUCGAGAGCGGCCCCGUCGGAGCCUUCCCGCGCUUUUUCCAUAAAAAAAAGGGCAUUCCACCGGGAAUUCCCAUCGCAUCCCGGCCUAAAGGCUCCAGCAGCACACCUCUGCACAGGACAGUGAAUGAGAGUUAUCACCGAGGCUGUUAAGGCUGCAAAACUGCUGGUAUAGGGAUUGCCAUGCUCAAAAAAACGAUGGAAUGUGGGAAAAUGCUCUUUAAACUGCCCCCUCCAGUCUAUACAUAAAGGAUGCAUAUUACUUAGAGAUAUGCUUUUACCUAAAAUUAUUCACGUAAGGUAUUUUACAGGAUUAAUUGCAUAACUGACAUUUAGAAAUACCCAGAUCUGGUCUUUGGGGUGAAUUACCCCAAUUUUGAGCACUCAAAAGCUGAAAAGUUCCCCAGGAGAAGCUGCUGCUCCUUCCUCUGAGUGUGGCCUGUUAAGCACUAAAGAAAACUGCACUCCACAAAACAAUUCUUGUAGUCUUGUGAUGUUUUUGGAUGUUUUUUUUACCGCUGCAUAAAUUUAUUAUUACAGCAGGCCACUAUCCCUAAAAAUCAUAUAAAUUAUGGAAGGAAUUGUGUCGCGGACGUGCUCCUGCACAGGCUUUGAGUUCUUUUGCAGGUAAAACACCCAUGUGUGCCUGCACAUGCAGGGCUCAGGUUCCCAAGGUGAAUAUAUUGAUUUAUUUCCUUGGCCCGUGGGAUCCCCAAGGUUCUGAAGCUGUUGGGAUACUGCAUUCCCACUGAACAUGGACGGAUUUCCGUGAACUUUAGUUCCACUCAACAAACACUGCCCGAGGCCCCUGCAGUUAAUAGAAACUCAGGACUACAGAGGUUCUUUUGUGUGAGACAAGAGUCUUAUCCAGGCUUGGAUCACACGGGGACCUCGGGGUGGGAAGUUCUGCAGCCCACGCCAGCCAAAACCCAUUUCAUUCCUGAGGAAUACGACUGUUGGUCAAAUUCCCCACACAGAAAAGGUCGGAAUAACAUCGCACAGAGCUGUUACUCACUCCUGGAUGCAGAGGAGGGAGGAAGCCCGAGCUGCACAUGCUUGCACCAUCUGCUGGCAGCAUCCUCACCGACAGACAUUCCUCGGAGGGAUUCUCUAAUUCCUCAUCCACACCUAGCGACACGAGGCCACCGCUAUAAAGGUUUAAGAUUCAGGUGAGGACUUGUUUUUCUCCAUAGUAGAGCCAUUUCUGCCAGGUUUGAAGGAAUUACACAGCAAAAUGACCCCAACACAGCCACCUCAAGCAGGGAACUGCAGAGCCUGGCCUCAUCCAGAGCUGUGCCAUCCCCUCCUGAAUUUCUGAACUCCCUGCUGGAAUCUCAGCUGAAGAAUGGGAUCCUGUCAGAUUCCUUGCCUAUCCCAGACCCUUGGUAUAUAUUAAAUUAAAGACAGCCCUUUGUUCCAGCCACAAACAUCAUAAUGUGAGUGAAUGAACAGCUCAAGUGAAAACGAAACUUGAUGAAAGCAUUUGUGAUGUUGAGGUGUGCAGGGACAGAUCAGUUCCUCCUUCUGCCCCACCCCUCGGUACAAGAAGAGGCUGUAAUUGGGUCACAGGAGGGAGGUGUCCAUGAAAACCAACAUCUCAUGCAGGCUGCACUCUGUGGAGUUCACAGCACCAAGAACAUCACUAGAUGCCCUUGCUUGGCUUAUAAAGAAAAUUGGCACUUUUAUAACAGGUAACAUCUUUAUCCCUGUGAAGCCAACAGGUCACAUUUGACUGGAACUGGAGGGAUCUUUAAGGCUUCUCCAGGUGCAGCUCCUGGGGAGGAUUACAGAGAGGUUGGCCCCUGAGUCAUCAGGCAUUAAACCACUACUGAAGGGCAGGAACUCCCAGUGUGGUGACUCAGUGGGAAUCAGACCAGGGAGCAGAGGGACAAAUGACACAUGAGUAAAAAUCCAGGAAACCAAAGCUAAGGCAGAGAACAGCUGAGCCUCUCUCCGUUAUGUGAAUGGGUUCUCUCUCCUAAGAGGAACAGCAUCACAGUAAGCCCAGGGUCAUGAACACACACCUGUCCACAAGAGAUUUAUGGAAAAAUGAGAACCAGUUUACAAGGGACAACUGAACAAAGAAAUUCCCUUUGAGUAGAUUUGGAGUCUGUCAACGGAUGUGUCAAUUCCAGCUGUGGCUGUGCCAGGGCCACCUGAGCUAUGAGCAACAAUUUCUCGUCCAUUGCAGAAUCCCAGACUGGUUUGGGUUGGAAGGGACUUCAAAGAUCAUCCCAUUCCACCCCCUGCUAUGGGCAGGGACACCUUCCACUAUUCCAGGUUGCUCUAAACCCUGUCCAACCUGGCUUUGGACACUUGCAGGGAUGGGGCAGCCACAACUUCUCUAGACAACCUAAAUACUUGUAAGGACAUAACAAUUUCUUUUUGGGAACACAACUACAGCAAAUUUAUUUGCCAGGCAAGCCCACGUGGUUUGAUGUGAACAUCACAAGGGUGAUCCGUGUGCCAUAAGCAAACAAAGUGUUUUCAUAUCACUUUGGGGAUCACAGGAUGUGCACAACCAGGGUGGCACAGGGCUGAAUCAGCAGCAGACCAUACAAGGCAGCUCUGUGAGCACAGCAGAAGUUUGCAGAGAAUCUACAAAAAUGGAUGUUGGCACAAACGUGACAUCCUAUAGAACAAUAAGGAUUCUGUGCUGCCUUUCCAAAGGGGCUCGAUCACAUCAGCCCCUGCCCAGGCACUGCAGGCUCUGGACACAACAUUAACUCUGUUUUCCUCCCAGCACAGGGCAGGAGCCUCUCCCUGCUCCUGUCUGGCUGCUCUUGGCAGCUGCAGGGCCUCCAGGAGGGUCUAAUCCCACCCCUGUAGGGAAACCUUCUUCCUCAGGGAGUCCCUUCCCCAUCCAAACCACCGUCCACCCUCCGAGGCAUUUCAGCCAGCCAGCAAAGUCCAGUGCCUCUUUUCAAAAACACACAUCAAAGCUGAAUCAGGUGGUGAAAGGCUGUAGGAAACCACAUUCUUCUUGUUGUUCUUUUCCCCUCUUAUAUUGACCUUUGAAAAGGAGCCCUUGGGCGGAUCCGGCGCGCAGCGUUCCGGGCAGCGGGGCUGACCUCCCGCCGUGGAAUUUCACCUAGUAAUUUCUGUGACACACAGAAAUCCUUGGAGCAGCUUGUCUGGCCUCAGAAGUAAAUCUAAGUGCCUGUGGCUUGACAAAUAAACAAUCUGAAAGCGCUUAAUGACUCA